GCCAUCUCUCCAGCCUUGCCUUUGCCCCAAGUCUCUGCACUCCAGCUCAGUUUUCAGUUCCAACAACUAGCUGUGCACCUUCAUCACUCAGGGUCUAGAGACUCAUUGCUCCAACAUGGAAGCUCCUUUUCUCCCAACACCAUCCUCCUGUAGUCUCAUCAAUUUCCACUUACCCUUUCUGUCUUGGUUGACAUGCAAUGUUUAUAUCCUUUUAACAUCCCUUUUGUUCAGUUCCAUGUUCCCAUUAGUCACAGUUAUCCAGUAUUCCUUGAUUGCCUUUUAUAUACUAAUUACUGAGGACGAAGAUAAUGGAAUGUUCUUAGUUCCUGCUUUCAGCAGCCUCCAAUCUAGUAGGGAAAGAAAGGCAUUUAUUUGUCUUCUUUGCUGGAUAUAAACUCCCUGUGGACAGUUGCCAGAGUCAUCAAGGAUUGAGUGGCAGAGCACCAAGAGAUGGUAGCAGGGAAGAGCAUGAGAGAAAUGCUGGAGGACAUCCAUGCAAGGGAGGAAAGGCUUUGAGCUGGCAAGAAACCUGAUCCACAUCUACCUUGGCAGCUCUAAUCACUGCCCAGUGUUGACACAAAAGGGAACUCCAUACAUCUUGAGGCAUUUGUAAUUCACGUGUUUCCAUAUGCAUUGCUAUAGAUUAAUUAGCACUGGUGACCCGUAUUUUGCUAGCUAGUGUAUUGAGACAGGACCUAAGCCUCCUCCAAAUUCCUUCCCAAGU
RNAcentral lists this long non-coding RNA (724 nucleotides) under Marmota monax (woodchuck). Lineage: Eukaryota; Metazoa; Chordata; Mammalia; Rodentia; Sciuridae. The record is from RNAcentral.